UCUAGAACUCGAGAUAUGGGUUGAACACUGAACACUGUCUGGGCUGUAGGACAGAUUCGGACUUCUUCGUUGUUGCUAUAAUUUGGACUUGAAAACGGCCUUAAAUCUUGGACUCCUCAUGAAAGUUGUAGGCCUAUGUCUUAGCUUUCCAUC
Molecule: non-coding RNA, 153 nt
Organism: Populus trichocarpa (black cottonwood)
Lineage: Eukaryota; Viridiplantae; Streptophyta; Magnoliopsida; Malpighiales; Salicaceae
Source: Rfam